AUACGAGGGGUGCGAGCGUUAUUCGGAAUCACUGGGCGUAAAGGGUGCGUAGACGGUGUGAUAAGUCCGCUGUUAAAUAUUCCGGCCUAACCGGAAAGCUGCGGUGGAAACUAUUAUGCUAGAGGAUGGAAGAGAGAAGUGGAAUUCUCGGAGUAGCGGUAAAAUGCGUGGAUCUCGAGAGGAACACCAAUGGCGAAGGCAGCUUCUUGGUCCACUCCUGACGUUGAGGCACGAAAGCGUGGGUAGCAAACAGGAUUAGAUACCCUGGUAGUCCACGCCGUAAACGAUGACCACUAGACGUUAGCUCUGUUUAACAGGGUUAGUGUCGUAGCUAACGCGUUAAGUGGUUCGCCUGGGGACUACGGCCGCAAGGCUAAA
Molecule: ribosomal RNA, 378 nt
Filed under: uncultured bacterium
Lineage: Bacteria
Description: bacterial SSU rRNA
Rfam family: Bacterial small subunit ribosomal RNA
Source: RNAcentral